Vicia villosa (hairy vetch) is the source of this 384-nucleotide long non-coding RNA. RefSeq lists it as uncharacterized. The transcript is spliced from 2 exons. NCBI's taxonomy places the organism in Eukaryota, Viridiplantae, Streptophyta, Magnoliopsida, Fabales, Fabaceae. The record is from RefSeq and is a predicted model, not a curated record.
GCUGAAUUUUAAAAGAAGAGAAUAUAAGUGGAGGAGAGGAACAAGAAGAGGAACUAGGGUUUUGGAGGAGAAAUCAAGAGGUUCUGGAGUUUAGUAGCUCGUGCGUGAUCUAGCCGGAGAUUUUUCCAUGUUUGUUGGAGAUUAAGUAGUGAGUCGAUGCUCUGGUCAUGUAACACUGGGUAGAUUAGUCGUGUUGAACUCAUGUUUCUAUUUGGUUAUGUAUUAUGUUUAUGACUUGAGAACUUGUUAUUUGGCUACUUGUUGUUUGAGAGGCUUUCAAGCCAAAUAUCCUGAAUUAUGUUUUAAUUUAUGUUGAUAUGAUUAUUGAGACUUGAUCAUGGUAUGGGACAUGGAUCAUUUUAUGAAACACAUGAGUAUUUAGUA